RNAcentral lists this ribosomal RNA (396 nucleotides) under uncultured bacterium. RNAcentral's name for it is "partial 16S ribosomal RNA". It matches the Rfam family "Bacterial small subunit ribosomal RNA", at positions 523 to 917 of the family's 1533-position model. The record is from RNAcentral.
AUACGUAGGUGACAAGCGUUAUCCGGAUUUACUGGGCGUAAAGGGCGUGUAGGCGGUCUUGCAAGUCAGAAGUGAAAUUCCUGAGCUCAACUCGGGCGCUGCUUCUGAAACUGCAGGACUUGAGUGCUGGAGGGGAUAGCGGAAUUCCUAGUGGAGCGGUAAAAUGCGCAGAUAUUAGGAAGAACACCGGUGGCGAAGGCGGCUAUCUGGACAGUACGUGACGCUGAGGCGCGAAAGCGUGGGGAGCAAACAGGAUUAGAUGCCCGGGUAGUCCACGUCGUAAACGAUGAAUACUAGGUGUAGGGGGUAUCGACUCCCUCUGUGCCGCAGUUAACACAAUAAGUAUUCCGCCUGGGGAGUACGGCCGCAAGGUUGAAACUCAAAGGAAUUGACGGG